This 72-nucleotide transfer RNA is filed under the name Heterocephalus glaber (naked mole-rat). It matches the Rfam family "tRNA". Rfam says of the family: Transfer RNA (tRNA) molecules are approximately 80 nucleotides in length. Their secondary structure includes four short double-helical elements and three loops (D, anti-codon, and T loops). The record is from Rfam by way of RNAcentral. Lineage: Eukaryota; Metazoa; Chordata; Mammalia; Rodentia; Bathyergidae.
UAGGGUGGAGCUCUGUGGUAGAGUGCUUGGCUGACAUGCAGGAGGCCCUGGGUUCAAUUCCCAGCACCACAA